Molecule: non-coding RNA, 30 nt
Filed under: Rattus norvegicus (Norway rat)
Lineage: Eukaryota; Metazoa; Chordata; Mammalia; Rodentia; Muridae
Source: RNAcentral
UCAAAGGUAUCGAGGACAGAAACUGACAGG